GAGUUUGAUCCUGGCUCAGAACGAACGCUGGCGGCGUGCCUAACACAUGCAAGUCGAACGUGAUCCAGAGCUUGCUCUGGUGAAAGUGGCGCACGGGUGAGUAACGCGUGGAUAACCUACCCUGGUAUCCGGGAUAACAUCCCGAAAGGGGUGCUAAUACCGGAUAAGCCCACGGGCUCUUUGGAGCUUGCGGGAAAAGGUGGCCUCUAUUUAUAAGCUACUGUAUCAGGAUGGGUCCGCGUACCAUUAGCUAGUUGGCGGUGUAACGGACCACCAAGGCGACGAUGGUUAGCUGGUCUGAGAGGAUGAUCAGCCACACUGGAACUGAGACACGGUCCAGACUCCUACGGGAGGCAGCAGUGGGGAAUUUUGCGCAAUGGGGGAAACCCUGACGCAGCAACGCCGCGUGAGUGAUGAAGGCCUUUGGGUCGUAGAGCUCUGUCAGAGGGGAAGAAAUGAUAUAGUGCUAAUACCACUUUAUCUUGACGGUACCCUCAAAGGAAGCACCGGCUAACUCCGUGCCAGCAGCCGCGGUAAUAC
Molecule: ribosomal RNA, 540 nt
Filed under: uncultured Geobacteraceae bacterium
Lineage: Bacteria; Pseudomonadati; Thermodesulfobacteriota; Desulfuromonadia; Geobacterales; Geobacteraceae
Description: bacterial SSU rRNA
Rfam family: Bacterial small subunit ribosomal RNA
Source: RNAcentral